GUGCUCAUUUCGGCAGCACAUAUACUAAAAUUGGAACGAUAUAGGGAACAUUAGCAUGGCCCCUGCACAAGGAUGGCAUGCAAAUUCAUGAAUUGUUCUGUAUUUUU
This is a small nuclear RNA of Phodopus roborovskii (desert hamster), 107 nucleotides long. Lineage: Eukaryota; Metazoa; Chordata; Mammalia; Rodentia; Cricetidae. The record is from RefSeq and is a predicted model, not a curated record.